UUAGAUACAAUUGUUCGGCUGUCU
This 24-nucleotide non-coding RNA is filed under the name Arabidopsis thaliana (thale cress). Lineage: Eukaryota; Viridiplantae; Streptophyta; Magnoliopsida; Brassicales; Brassicaceae. The record is from RNAcentral.